UAUUCAUGAAGUAUUACGUAAUCACUGUACAUAUCAGAUAUUAGAAUGAAGUAAAUUGUUAACUGCUGAAAAAAUGUCAGCUUUCUUAGUACACAGAAUGAAACGGACAAUAUUGCAAACUACUAUAAUUCUUGCCGCGGAGUUGGAAAAAAAUGUAGCUCGGAUGAUGGAUUGUCUAUAGGAUACUUUUACGGGACGUUGGUUAUUAUAAACAGGAAUUCAUGUACACGAAAAACAAUGUUAGUUGAUCAGCAAGGUGCCUUUUUCUCUAAGUUUUCCAGAUAAUCCGGCGGUAGAAAACAACAUAUGUUACAAAGAUGUAUCAUUUUGAGGAACUAGACGGAUUUUUUGUUUUGUUUUAACUGUCAUGUAUGCAUUCGACGUCUGGCGUGUAGGAAGUUCGCAGAUAGGCUAUAGGUAAUAUAGUUCAUGCAGAAUAACUGAAAUGUCUCGUCUGCUUACAAAAUACACGUGCCAAGACGCUGGAACGGAAUGAAUAUACUUAACUGUCAUUACCUACGGAUACGGACGAAGGCUUUAUGAAAUUUGAAAAUUACAAGCGUCCACAGCAGAUGUCAUGAAUAUCUGUCUUGUGAUCUUUGUUAUCCUACCGCCUUGCAUUAUGGGAUUUACAUGUCCAGAAGACCUCAGUCGCGUGUGCACGUGCUAUACCACAUUUACCGGAUCAAUUCGAAGGGAAGAACGGCGCCAUGUAGAUUGUUCAUCCAGAGAACUUAAAGAAAUUCCAUACAUGGAUUUUAGAGAAGGAACUAGGCUUUACGAAAUUCUUCUACAAAACAACUCGAUAACGUCAUUACUAGCCACAGAUUUUGCGAGGAAAACCCAUGUCCGUUACAUCGACAUCAGCGGAAACCCUGUUGGAAGUUCGUUAGAAAAAAACUUACUGAAGAAAUCUGUCACUAAUCUAAAAAUUCUGAAAGUGAAAGACAUCGGCCUUGAUCUUCAAAAUAUGACGUCAUUACAUUUUCUUAAAGAUAUGCAUUCCCUAGAAGAAUUAGAUUUGUCUGGAAAUAUGGAGUACGGUGUCGAUAUGCUGCCAGCAAUCUUUGUAGAGAACGAAAUACACUCGCUUAAAAUAUUAAGUCUGUCCCUGUGUAGAAUUAAGGAUGUAAAUCCCCACGGAUUUAUAGGACUUAACAACCUAAGAGAAAUGGAUCUCAGCCAGAAUUACUUAUCUCGCGUUCCAAGGGCAUUAAACAGACUGGGGUUAUUGAGGAAGCUUACACUCCGGGAAAAUGACAUCACUGUGAUAUAUCAUGGAGACUUCAGUGAUCUAAAUUGCCUUGAAGAAUUGGAUUUAUCCAAAAAUUUACUUGGGCAAAUUGAAGCUUUCCGAAAUGGAGCUUUGUUUGGAGUCAGCAAUUCUCUAACUCAUUUCUAUCUUCAUGAUACCCAUUUAGGAUUUUUUCCAACUCGUACUUUGUCAGAUUUGAAGAAAUUGAAACAUUUAGAUAUUUCACAUAACAAAAUUACCCUGUUGACCAACAUGUCUUUCUCAGGGAGAUACCAGCUCAGUUUUCUUGAUAUAAGCGGAAAUCCAUGGCUUAUAGAUGACGGCAUGUUUGAUGGGGUGAAAGACAGUUUAGUGAGUUUGCGCAUGCGCAAAAUCGGAAUUACAUCGGUUCCAAGAAUUCCUUUGACAAAACUUCAGAAUUUGAGGAACUUGGAUUUAUCGUAUAAUGAACUGCAUUCUUUAAACAACGACAGUAUUUCUGGAAUAUCAGCUAGACGUAUAUCCUUCCGGGGAAACAAAAUAAGUUAUAUAAAUGAUGAUGCUUUUUCCCAUUACAAGCGUCCAAUAGACCUUGAUCUUUCUCAGAAUGUGUUAGAUUCUCUAAAAUUUGUAUUUGAAUCAGAAAAAUGUACCUUUUACAAGCUUAACAUAUCAUACAAUGGAUUUCUCUGUGAUUGUCAAAUUGAAAAGAUUGUGAAUUCGAAAAGAGCUUACGAUCUUGACGGAAACUGUAUUUUAAAAACUGGCCGGACGGUGGCGCUCUCAAACGGAAGUAUGAUACGUGAUUUGGAGACGCAUUGUGGGAAGUCUUCUCGGACAUUCUGCUUAUGGUGGGCCCCGAAGUCAGAAUCCAUUAAUGCAGAGUUAUGAAAAAAGAACAAACAGUCAUGCUAUUCAGUUGCCAGCUGUUUUUCCUGUUAAAUGAUCAGCGCAUAAACUCAUGAUUUAUUACAUAACACUUCAUGAACAGAUAGAUUCGUGAUAAUUUUAAACUUCCGUGAAUUGUUCUCAUCUCAUAUAUAUUUUACUCGUGUGCCUAGUCAUCCUUACUUCUUAUGUAUAAGGAAGUUUUUCCCCUUGGAGUUUCGUUUUAAGUACUUCGUGGAAAAAAGGCAUGUACGUUUUACUGGUAUCUAUCAAGACUUCAAGUGUAGCAGCCUUUUCUACUUGGGAGUACUGCAGUUUUGCAGGAGAUUGAAAGAUGUUGCUUGGGUAUAUGAUAGUAUGUAUUGUGUGGUUAACUGAUGUCACAGGACACGUGUCCGCACGGAUGUACCCUACAAGACAUCCUAAAAUGUCGACACCGGUGAUCAGUUAUGUGUCAUCUCACACAUGUGAUGAAAAUCCCUACGUAAACGGUUGCAGCAUACCAAUCAGGUCCUACAGACAAAUGUUUCAGUCAGAAUGCAACAGGCACGAUAUUUGUUAUAACUGUGGCUCGGCGUAUGGAAUAAGCAGACGAUCUUGCGACGCUCUUUUUGGUCAAAGUAUUGCAGAACGUUGUGACUCUGCUAAAAACAAGACUUGGUGCCACAUAUUGACUUACAUAUCGUACGCCGGUGUCAGACUAACCGGUCGCCGACAGUAUUCACGUUUCUCUCCGUCGUGGUGUACCGACAGAUGGGUUUCCUCUUGUUUGUACAUGUAGUAGGCUUCCGCUUGCAUUUGUGAAGAAAGUACCAUCAUUUGAAGACUGCAUGCGUGAAUAUCCAAAUUGAGUGUGUUUCAUGUAUAAAACGUAAUAAAUGUCAUGCGUUGUGUAUUAGAUACCUAUUGAUAUAGGUGAAUGGUCCAUCGUCCGGCUUCCUUCGAAAACAUAUACACCACAACUCCACCUCUGAAUUGCUGGUUGGAAUUACAUCAUUUGACUUUAUCAUUCUGGCAGAAACCUCCUUUAAAUGUUUUUUCUUGACAGCGUUUAGGAGCCACCAGAGCUACUCUCAUGAAGCACUUGAUGGAUCUUUACCAAACCUUUUUGUACAUGUGUUCAAAUGAUUCCACUUGACUGGAUUUAGAGGCCACUUAAACGAUUUCUUCUAAUGGACGGCGGGGCUGAUCUUCACUAAACUUGGUCUCUGGCAUCCUGUGAUGGAUUUUACUUUCCUAAGGCGGGUUAACUCUUUGGUUCAGAAUAUAAAAGAGCUAAACGUUUCGAAUGCGCUGACAUUUUGUUAAUAUACAAAGUUUAUUCAUCUAAAAGUUCCGUUUUAGGCUAACAAUUUUUUCGUCUUUAUCACAUUUACAAGGUGAAAAAGACUAUUAGAUCGACGUGUUUUUCAUCACAACUAGUACUAACUGUUAACACCACACUUUGAUAUGACAACAUGUCUAGUUAACACAAUAAGACUUAUUUUUUUUACAUAUAAAAAUUGGGAGAUCAUCUUGAAAAAAUCUCUUCGCGCAUCCAAUUGAUGUUUAUAGUAUCAUCAUUUCUAUAAUAAGUAACAUGAAAAAAGAUGUGUUGUAGUUACGAAUAAAUAUCCCAAGACAGUUA
Mercenaria mercenaria is the source of this 3749-nucleotide RNA transcript. It is a transcript of the gene named leucine-rich repeats and immunoglobulin-like domains protein 3, with no coding region annotated. NCBI's taxonomy places the organism in Eukaryota, Metazoa, Mollusca, Bivalvia, Venerida, Veneridae. The record is from RefSeq and is a predicted model, not a curated record. The transcript is spliced from 5 exons.